Molecule: ribosomal RNA, 468 nt
Filed under: uncultured bacterium
Lineage: Bacteria
Description: partial 16S ribosomal RNA
Rfam family: Bacterial small subunit ribosomal RNA
Source: RNAcentral
GACGAACGCUGGCGGCGUGCUUAACACAUGCAAGUCGAACGGAAAGGCCCUGCUUUUGUGGGGUGCUCGAGUGGCGAACGGGUGAGUAACACGUGAGUAACCUGUCCUUGACUUUGGGAUAACUUCUGGAAACUGGGGUUAAUACCGGAUAGGAGCUCCUGCUUCAUGGUGGGGGUUGGAAAGUUUCGGCGGUUGGGGAUGGACUCGCGGCUUAUCAGCUUGUUGGGGGGGUAGUGGCUUACCAAGGCUUUGACGGGUAGCCGGCAUGAGAGGGUGACCGGCCACAUUGGGACUGAGAUACGGCCCAGACUCCAACGCGAGGCAGCAGUGGGGAAUAUUGCACAAUGGGCGGAAGCCUGAUGCAGCAACGCCGCGUGCGGGAUGACGGCCUUCGGGUUGUAAACCGCUUUCGCCUGUAACGAAGCGUGAGUGACGGUAAUGGGUAAAGAAGCACCGGCUAACUACGUG